UGAUACCUGCGGGGUGGGUCGCGACAGAACGUGAGUCACACUGCGCCUCCCGCGGCCCGGCUCGCAGUGCGCCCCGCCACUCCGAUGCCAGGUCCGAGGCAGUCGCACGCCAAGGCAUUUUCCUCAGCAGUUGAGUAGCUCCCCCCUCCACCCCCCCCCCCCACAGAACAAGCUUUUUAGAAUAAAAAGUCCCAUUUGGACACGAGGGCAAGAGAGUAAAGUCAAUUAGUAAGAGAACUGAACAACCCGAUUUUUUUCCCCCUACAAAUUGUGCUUUGUUGAGUUGAGCUGAGACUGAUGAACUGCAGUUCAGCAGCUGGAGGCUGCCUCCUGUUCUGCAGCAUUGCAUCCUGCUCAAGGUCAAAUCCAUUCCCCCGUGAAUGUCACGGUCCCUGUCCUCGCUACUCCAGCUCGUUGUCAGUGAUCUGCCCCCAGAUCAGGUUGGAAAUUAGAAGGCUGUGCUCGGAAAGUUUCAUGGCAAUUGGACGAGGGAAGUCGAAUCUGCAGUGACGGACAGGAGGGGCACCGGCCCCCUUGGUGGCUUCUCAGAAUAAGCCAACCCUAGCUGCCUCUUGUGAGGACCCCCCUCAUUAGAAAAUGAGUUUAGGCGGGUUUCCAACAGCUGGCUUCUGCAGAGGACCUUCUGCUGACUGUAAGAUACGGCUGAACUGUAUGUUCUCUUUUUCUGUAUUAAGCAAUUGGUCAUUUUUUAAAAAGGCCUGAUUCGAAGAGUUGGAUGUGCAAACGAAUUGGUUUGUAUACUGCCUCCCAUAUUGUGGAUGGGACAAAAGCAAAGAAAUUCAAGGAAAAAUAUGGAUCUUUUCAUAGUGGCUAUCCAGAUGUCUUUUUUUUUUUAACUGAACUGCAUUAUAAAGCAGCUUUAAAUUAUAUUUUCAGGUAUGUAGUAAAAGAAACUUUAUAACAAUUUUGAAUGACACUUUUUAGGACCUAAGAGCCUCAAGUGAUGUUUUCAUCCAGAAAAUGGAGCGUUUUGAAGGAAAGAAAAUAAACUCUUCUAACAGAGUGGAAGAUGCCGACCCUGGAGCAGACGCCCAUGGACACUUCCAUCACGGACUCUCAGCGGACUUUUAGCAGGCACAGAGGGACACGCAGAAGACGGCUGUGGGCGCAGCCCGGACAAGCAGGCAUCAGGGACGCGCACGCACCAUGCCACUGAUGCAGCGGCCGCAGGCGGUGGUCUUGAACUCCCCAUGCAGCUCCUUCACGGCGCUCGUGGUGUAGAAGCCCUCCGCCAGCAGGAUGAUCCCGUACAGGAAGAAGAAGGACGCGAUUCCGUAGAUGACGUACUGCAUCAGCUGGAUUCUGGGGAAGGAAGCAGGUCCCGCGCCGUUACGUUUCGUGCAUCACUAACAGAUGUCUUUGGCCUCCGAAGGGAGGCCACGAAGGUGACAGCACCGCCGCGCCCUCCGCUGUGAUUGCCAGCCCUGCCCCACGGGAGAGCCCGCCCCGGGUCCCACAGGCCCGCGGCGCCCUGGGCGCUCUUUCCCGCUGCCGUCUGCAGUCUGUGAGCGUGACUGGAAAGCUCUCUGCCCAACAAGCACACUUCUUGAAAGCCCCCUGGGGUGGUCGCCUUUCAAACCCCUCUUCAAAGGGCAGCAGGAACUUACACCUCGCUCAGCAGGGCGUGGUCACUGGCGUUGGUGGAGAAGUGCUGCUCGAGGAUGGCCACGGUGCCCGCCAGAGCCACGUGGCCGCAGCCGCAGAACAGGGCGACGCCGGAGAAGCAGAGGAUGGUGGCCACCAGGGACGCGUAGGGGACUCCCCCCAGACACUUGAUGCAGCACUCGAAGCAGCCUGGGCCCGGAGGAGAGAGAGCGCACCCGUUACGCGCCCGAGGCCUUCCUGAGCCCACAGGGUAGGAAGCACUGGGCCUGGCACUGGGACUACAAAUGCAAAGGGAGGCCUCUUACUUGCCUUCAAGGAGAUCAGUCUAACGCUGCAGGCAGACAAGUCACAGAACUCCUAGAGCGCAGCGUGACGAGCACCAAGACAUGGACUGCCGGAGAGCCAGCGGAUGGCGGGCAGGUGCAAAUCUGAGAACCACUGUCCUAAAGAAUCACGCCGGCUCCUCACUGCGGCCGUUCCAUCUUCUUUCUUUGAUCACCAGGCAAAUUCCGCGACAAUGAAAACCUAUCUCCACGAAACAAUUCCUGGCUUCUGGCCAAGAUGGAGUAUCAGGGACCUAAUUUAUCCUCCUGCCUGAAACAAGAAGAAGCUGAACAAUACCUACGAAACGAUGGCCUUCCAGAUACCAGGCAUCGGGCUGUGAAGACCCACCCAUGGCUAGUGAGGCAGUUGUUACAGUAAUUCUCAACAGAACCAAAGAAUCCACACCCAGUGACCCAUAACUCAUUCUGAAGACGCGGCUGGCACAGGGUCCUCUGAAGGCGCAGCUCAGCUCCCCUGGCCAAGAGCAGCUCUUCCCCACAACCUUGCUGGGACCAUCCGCUCGGGUCCUGAGGUCUCCUAAAGGCUGUGUUUCAUUGCGGCUGUCCAUUCAGCAGGGUAACGGAUACGGGUGAGGACAGCAGGCGGAGGGAGGGAGUAGCUGUCCGUCCAUUCGGUUAUUCCAUUUCAUUCAAUCAAUCAGUGAACAUUCCAUGCUCAUCGAAGUGUCUUUGAUGCCCCCAGCACCGGGCUGGACGCCGGGGACUCAACGGCACGCUAGCAUAGGCGUGGUCUACACUCUGAUGGCGUUUCCCGUCUCUGGGGAGACAGACAUUAGCCAGGUGGUCCUGAGCUCAGAAGAGCUAGAGGAGCAAAGCACGGGAACUGACUGAGGCUUCCGGAGGGGAACCGGGGACGGGUUCCACCCCUUAGAUACGAAGGCUGAGUCUGAGGUCAUCAGACACGGUUAGAGAGGGUGGUCCAGGACGCAGGAACAGGAACAGACGCUCCGUGGUGGAAAGAGGAGGGCGCUCUCCCGGGCUCGGAAGCAGCCCGAACAGAGAGCGGGCUCAGUGCGGGCGGGGCCAGGAAGGGUCUAGCGGAGCCAGACCCACCCAGGGCUUUCCAGGCCGCCCGAAGGAGUCUGGACUUCAUCCUCUGGAUCCUGUGAGGCCACGGAGCGCCGUUAACCACGAGGAAGAGACUGGGGUUGUCCGAGAUCCCCCUGGCCGGCGUGACGGGCACAAAGUGCAUGUGCAGGCGAGGAGGCGCUCGCCGCGAUAGCUCAGGAAAAGCGGGCAGGUGCUUGGACCGGGGCCGAGGCAGCGGAAGAAGACGACAGUGACGGGUCAGAGAGCGCGUUCCUGAGUACCACGGACGACUCCUCACUUUCUGCACCUAGACCCCGCGGGUGCUGUGGUGUUCCCUGAGCUGCGGUUGACCCCAGAGGGCGAGGCUGUGAGGACAAAGACGCUGAGCUGACUUUCAGGUGACCGGAGGCCGGCUGAAGGGAGGGUUUCUGGUAGGCGAGUGGCUAUACGGCUCCGCAGGUCGGGAGUGCCGGUGUUGGGUGCCGUCAGCCCCUCCUGGACAGCCAUGAAAACUUCCUGCGGUCAAGCAUGCAUGAGUGCAUCACUGAUCAGGUCAAAGUGCUUCAGACCCUCUGCUUUGCAAAGUACGGUCCUUGGACAAGCAGCACGAGCUUGGGAGACACGCAGCACUUUGGGCCGCGUCCCAGACUAGCGGACUCCGCAUCUGCACCUUAACAAGCCCCCCAGGGGCGCACAGACGAGUCUGAGAGGCCUAUCUCUAGCCCCGAGCCCCAGCUUCCCACGCUCAGGUGUGGCGUCCUGAGUCCAUAGGAAGGGCCUGUUUUUGCGUUCACCCCUGUUUGGUGUUUUCCCCUUAAGAAGCAGCCCGCUGGGCUUGGCCGUUAGUCUCGCCACUUGCAAAUCACAAGGCAAGUUCCAGGGGCGGCAACAAAGAAAAACAAAAUGUUCCAAAGCUGUUCAGCUGUCUUGAAAAGACAGCAAGUAGAGUGUGUUGUGUUUUUUGUUUUUUUUUUUCUCUAAGACAAGCAAGCACUGUGAACCUCAGAAUGUUUCACAUCAAAGAUGCUUUAGUGCAAUACCAUAGAUAGGGUCUGAGGAAACAGACCUGUAACCCCCUCCUCAUACAGACAGACGGCCUGGAUCUGCGCUUCAGACUGUCCCCAGCAUGAGAAGUCACAGGCCAGGCUGAUGCUUCUGCACAGGGAUGUGGUACUAAGCAUCAACACGGCACCAGACGUUAAAAGUUGAUGCCGCUUAAGGAAGGUGAACGCUUCCCUUGGGCGCUCCCGUAAAUCCACAGACUGACUUUUCCCAAGCUUCAAACCAGUUAUGACGACACUGGGUAACGGGAACCAGACAGAAAAGGCAAGGAAAGUAUUUUUUGGAUGACUGAACUAACCAAAAAGAACCACCAAACCUCAGUGCUCAGCUUUCUAGUGUAUUUUACUCCUGAUUCUCAAUACCUCUCACCACCACGCCCCCUCCACACGCUGUCAAGUCAGUGUCUUCAGCCCUCCUGAAGCCAGGCUCUGUGGCUACAGAGAAUUUUCACUUUUGAUUCACACAAAAACUCCAGUGUGCCUUUGCCGAAGACAGUUUAAAAAUACACCACACAGUAGGGAGAGAAAAAUGCGCAUCAGUGCCUCUCGCUCUCAAUGGCCAUUUUGUCUCCAGCAUCUCUAGAACCUUUUGUGCAGAACGACAGAAUAAAACAUGUUUUGUCCUCAGGCUUGCGGAUGGCCGUUGCCAUGGCUCUGAGUUCAUAACGGCCCAGUGAUUUGCCCCAAGUUGUCUGUGAUCCUGGCUGCAGAUUUAAAGCUGUCUCAGAAGAAGGGCCCAGCCAGCAGCCACAAGGGCUCGAAUUCUUCCCCAGGGAAUGAAUGUCUCUCCCUCUCGCUCGCUCGCUCGCUCGCGCUCACACACACACACACACACACACACACACCGACCCACACACCCCUGUACGCAAGGCCCUCCUUGUUACUUUGCUGAUUCCUAAUGAUCCACAAAAUGAAACAGAAAAGGAGAAAUAACCAAGGUCGGCAACUUUCAAACAAUCAGCAACAGGCAAAUGGAGGUGGAGCGCAUCCUCCUUAAAAGAAAUAGAACUGGAUGUCAGCCGAGACGCCUCUGCUUCGGAGACGGCUUCCGCAGCACUUCUCAACAGGGGGUGACUGUGCCCCCCUAGGGGACACUGGGCAAUGUCUGGAGACACUUUUAGUUGUGGGGGGUGCUCCCGGCUCUAGUGCGUGGAGGCCAGGGAUACUGUUCAACAUCCUACACUGUGCAGGACAGUCACUCACAACCCAGCUGUCAAGAGCACACGCGCUCGCACACACGCUCAAUAAUGCUCAGAUCAGCGGUUUUCAACUGGGGACGAUCUUGCCCUGCAGGGAACAUGUGGAGACAUUAUCAGUCAUCGCAACUGGGCGGGCGUUACUGGCAUGUAGCGCACAGAAGCGAAAGAUGCUGCUAAACAACCCCCCAGUGGACAGGACAGCCCCCACCCCACAAAGAUGGCGGGGAACGCAUGCUGUCAAGGGUGAGGGGCCCCCUUCCAAGGCUACCAUGUGCCAUCCUGUUCUGAGACACCACUGUUACAGCCAAAUCCCACAAUUAAAAAAAAAAAGCUUUAAAAAAAAUCUGACUUUGUUUACAAAAUAUUACAGAGCAAAAGUUCUCCAACUUUGCUGCAGAAGAGAAUUGCCUGGAGCACAUUUGAAAACCCUGAUGCCCAGACUUCACCACAGACCCAUUAAAUCAGCAUUUCUUGGGGGUGGGACUCGGGCAUUAGAGGUUUGGCUGAAAAACAGAAGCCCCCUAGGUGACUGACUGUAAUGAGCACCCACGUUGGCGAACAGUGCAGGCGUCAGCAAACUGGUCCAUGAGCCAAACAGCCCUCCACCUGGCCUGCGACCCAAGAAUGCUUCUGUACGUUUCUAAAUGAUCUACAAAAACAGACCUCAAAGAAGACUUCCUUUGUGAUAUACGUAUAUGGAAUUCAAAUCUCUGUGUCCAUAAAUAAGGUUUUCUUUGCUGCUGUCAUGGUUUCCUUUGCUAUACAAACAGAAAUAAAGUUUUUUUGGAACAUAGCCGACCUCACUCCUUCAUGUACUGAGUGUGGCUAUUUUCAAGUUGCAAAGGCAGCGGUGCGUAGUUGCCAAAUAUUUACCAUCUGGUCUUUUACAGGAAAAGUCUGCGGCCUCCAUUAAAGAGAAACUGGUUCCCCAACUUUAAGGUGCAUGUAUGUUCCCUGGGGAUCCCAUCAAAAGGCAGAUUCCAUUUAGGCAGAGAACAGAGGCUCUCCAAGGGGGGAAUCUGUGCAGCCCUGAGAGACCCUGCGGCUCUAUCAGGAGUUCUGCGAGGCCCAAACUGCCUUGGUCACAGCGCCAGAUGUUACUGACUUUCAUUCGGUGUUGACGUUUGCAGCGUAAACCUGCCGAUGGCUCAGCGCGAAUCAGGCAGCGGCACCACGCACUCCCGGCCAAAAGUACAUAAAUAACAGACAGCUUCACUUAAAACUCUCCUCGACGCAGUACAAAAUUACCUUGAAUGAAGCGGAAGCCCUGAGUACACACCUUUUGGAAACUCUGUGUGAUGAAACGGGAAGGAUGCCUACAGCAUUUCGGGUGCCUACCACAGCACGCCGAAGGGUUCUUGUGUCAUUGAGUUACAAGCUGAACUAGCACCAGUUUUUCUUUUUUGGUGGAACAACCUUUUUUUUUUUUUUUUUUUUUUAAAGAAUGACUAACAAGCUAUAGUUGUUAUUAAGACUUGGGAAGAAGACAUAAAGGCCAACAGGCACAUGAAAAGAUGUUCAGCAUCACCAAUCAUCACAGAAAUGCAAAUCAACACCACAAGGAGAGGCCACCUCACGCCUGUUAGAAUGGCUAUUAUCCAAAAGGCAACAAAUAAUGAGCGUAGGCAAGGAUGUGGAGCAAAGGGAACCCUUGUGCACUUUCUUAACUGAUACAGCCACUGCGGAAAACGGUGUUUGUAUGUUCUUUCUUUGGAUAAACACCCAGAAGUAAAAUAGCUUUGGUCUUAUUGGUAAUUCUAUUCUUAAUUUUUUGAGGAAUCACCAUACUAAUUUGUAAAGAUACCCACACCUCUAUGUCCACUGCACCAUUAUUUAUAAUUGCCAAGACACAGCAACAACCUCAGUGCCUACUGAUGGAUGAACAGAUAAAGAAGACAUGAUGUACAUACAUAUACAUACACACACACAAUGAAAUACUACUCAGCUAUAAAAAAGAAUGAAUUCCUGCCAUUUGCAACAAGACAGAUGGACCUUGAGAGCAUUAUGCCAAGUGAGAUAAGUCAGAGAAAGACAAAUGCCAUAUGAUUUCACUCACAUGUGCAAUAUGAAAACAACACCUCAUAGAUACAGAGAACAGAGUAGUUACCAGAAGGGAAGGGGACUGGGGGUUGUGUGAAAUGGGUCAGAGGGGUCAACUGUCUGGUGAUGGAUGACAACUAGACACGUGGUAGUGAUCACCCUAACGGAUAUGCAGAUGCUGAACUACGAUGCUGUACUUGACGUGUUCUAUAUACACCCACACACACAUACAUACACACAUACACACACACCAGGUAGGCUUGGGCACAUGGCAAAAUGGUUUUCAAAAAUGAUCUAAAUGAGCUUGUCCCUUCAAAGAAAACAACUCACUCAUAGUAUCUGUUGCCAAUCAAUUUUCGAAAACUUUCACCUGUGAUUCAUAGUGAAAGUUCCAGCUUCCCAGGACUGACAAGACUUCUUGAUGAAACUGGUGGUGACAUUAAUGCCUGCGUCUUUCUGAAUAUGGUAUAAUGAAAUGUGUCAAUGCCUGGAAGAUGUGCACAACUCAGAGAACCUCUAUUUUCCAAAUGACCGACAUGUGAUGUUACAGAAUCAUUCUGGAAUACACUGCCAAUCAGAGUGCAAAAGAGAGCAACAGAUUUUACUGGAACAGAAUACAAAAAGUUCGUAGAUAUGAUUUCAGAUUCCACAUUAUAAAUGAUCUUUAAAACACUACCACUUGCUGGAUUUCGGGGUAUUAUCAAGGAAGAGUUCCACAAACACAUGAAACGGCCAUUAAAACUCUUCUCUCUUCAGCCGCAUAUCUGUGAAAGAUGCAGUUUGUUUCAUACACUUUACCUAAAACUAGAUACCCCAAGAUGCCUUUGAAUGCACGAAUCCAGCUGUCAUAAAUGGAUAAAGAACACGUGGUAUACAACAUAUGCUAUACAAUGGAAUACUACUCAGCCAUAAAAAGAAUAAAAUAAUGCCAUUUGCAGCAACAUGGAUGGACCUAGAGAUGAUCAAACUAAGUGAAGUAAGUCAGACAGAGAAAGACAAAUACAUGGUAUCACUUAUAUGUGGAAUCUUUAAAAAAUGAUACAAAUGAACUUUUAUUGAUAAACCAGACAUAGAACACAAACUAUGGUUACCAAAGGGGAAAAGGGAGGGAGAGAGGGAUAAAUUAGGAGUCUGGGAUUAACAGAUACACACUACUGUAUGCAAAAUAGAUAAACGACAAGGACCUACUGUAGAGCACAGGGAACUAUAUUCAAGAGCUUCUAAUAACCUAUAAUGGAAAAAGACUCUGAAAAACAAUAGAUGUAUAUCUAUGUAUAACUAACUGACUAACUUUGCUGCACACCUGCAACUAAGCCAACACCGUAAGUUAACUAUACUUCAAUUUUUUAAAAAAAAUCUAGCUGUCACAUAUGAAGCCAGAUACUAAGGAGAGUGGCAGAAAUGUAAAGCAGAAGUAUUCUUCUCACUUGUUUUAUUUUCUUUGGGAAAUUAGUUAUCUUUUCCUAAACAUUAAUUAUGUUAACAUGUAAUGGGUUUAUUAUUAGUUUAAUUAAAUAAAUUUAGUACUUACAAUAAAUUUCUCAAUUAUAAUUUCUAAUACAAAAAUACACAUGUAAACCACAUGAGCAAAAGCUUUCUGGGGUCUUCAAUUAUUUGUAAGAGAGUAAAGGGACCUGCCACCCCCAAGUCUGUAAACCACUGGCGCAACACACUAAGGCGGGAUCAUGGAAUCAGAGGGGGGAGCGGCUCUGUGUAAAAGAGCUGAGUGAGAAAUCACUGAAACGUAGAUAAGUUGCUUCUCAGUUCUCUCUUGACCUUCUUACAGUUCUGGACGUAAAAGUCCAACUAUAUAAUGCUAAGAAUGCAGAAACUAUUCUUCAAACUAUUUUUAAUAAUAUAAAGGGAAUCGAUCACUUUCCAGCAGAUCCUUUUAAAAAUUUGUCCUAAAAUCUUAAGUGAAAAAUUCUCAUUCCUGGGGCACACGGUGAACACUUUAAAAUAGAUUAGCCUCUCACAUGUGCAGUACGGCCUGGGCAGGAGAAGAGAAGCAACUACGUCAAAGUAAAGGUACGCGCACAUGGUGAAAUACACAAAGCGAAGAACCGGCCGCUUUGUUUGUUAGUCUCUUCCUUCAGCUUUCGUGGGAACUGGCUUUGCUCUUCCUAAGGACCACCUGCAUGCUCUUAGCCUGCUGAAGUGGAGUGCAAGGAACCAGGGACACCGAGGGUGAUCUGAAAAUGAAAGAAUUGACCCAGAGCAGAAAACAAGCUGUGAAGAACCCUAAAAGAUACUCAGAAACGCUACAGCGUGGACCUGAGCUGGAAUACACCUGCGCUGUGUCCACCAUUCACCUCCAUUUCACUUGAAACCCCUUGAAUAACUGGAAGCCAUCAGACUGGGCGCUUCUGGCCCAACCUGCGUAAACCUGGAAAGUUUCUCCAACCAGACUCCGGGGAAGAGGCGCUUCGCCCGAGAGCCCACAUGGCACCAUGAGACCACUGGCAACAAGCCACACCCGCCAGUGACGGAGCCCAGUGGCGCACACAGGAAGAUUCAGGGUUCCCCCUUCGAAAUACGUUUCAAGUGUUUUCAGGAAAAAACCUCAAACUUAGUGGCCUGACGAUCUGAGGUUAGGACACAGUAACACAGGACAGUGACAAACCCAGGGCGCUUCCCGGGACUCUCAUGCCCACGGGAGUCACU
Long non-coding RNA from Camelus dromedarius (Arabian camel), 9963 nucleotides. RefSeq lists it as uncharacterized. The transcript is spliced from 6 exons. Lineage: Eukaryota; Metazoa; Chordata; Mammalia; Artiodactyla; Camelidae. The record is from RefSeq and is a predicted model, not a curated record.